RNAcentral lists this ribosomal RNA (843 nucleotides) under uncultured bacterium. RNAcentral describes it as "bacterial SSU rRNA". It matches the Rfam family "Bacterial small subunit ribosomal RNA", at positions 90 to 916 of the family's 1533-position model. The record is from RNAcentral.
AGCGAGCGGCGGAUGGGUGAGUAACACGUGGGGAACCUGCCCCUAAGUCUGGGAUACCAUUUGGAAACAGGUGCUAAUACCGGAUAAUAAAGCAGAUCGCAUGAUCAGCUUUUGAAAGGCGGCGUAAGCUGUCGCUAAGGGAUGGCCCCGCGGUGCAUUAGCUAGUUGGUAAGGUAACGGCUUACCAAGGCGACGAUGCAUAGCCGAGUUGAGAGACUGAUCGGCCACAUUGGGACUGAGACACGGCCCAAACUCCUACGGGAGGCAGCAGUAGGGAAUCUUCCACAAUGGACGCAAGUCUGAUGGAGCAACGCCGCGUGAGUGAAGAAGGUUUUCGGAUCGUAAAGCUCUGUUGUUGGUGAAGAAGGAUAGAGGUAGUAACUGGCCUUUAUUUGACGGUAAUCAACCAGAAAGUCACGGCUAACUACGUGCCAGCAGCCGCGGUAAUACGUAGGUGGCAAGCGUUGUCCGGAUUUAUUGGGCGUAAAGCGAGCGCAGGCGGAAAAAUAAGUCUAAUGUGAAAGCCCUCGGCUUAACCGAGGAACUGCAUCGGAAACUGUUUUUCUUGAGUGCAGAAGAGGAGAGUGGAACUCCAUGUGUAGCGGUGGAAUGCGUAGAUAUAUGGAAGAACACCAGUGGCGAAGGCGGCUCUCUGGUCUGCAACUGACGCUGAGGCUCGAAAGCAUGGGUAGCGAACAGGAUUAGAUACCCUGGUAGUCCAUGCCGUAAACGAUGAGUGCUAAGUGUUGGGAGGUUUCCGCCUCUCAGUGCUGCAGCUAACGCAUUUAAGCACUCCGCCUGGGGGAGUACGACCGCAAGGUUGAAACUCAAAGGAAUUGACGG